RNAcentral lists this ribosomal RNA (1386 nucleotides) under Salmonella enterica subsp. enterica serovar Paratyphi A. RNAcentral's name for it is "partial 23S ribosomal RNA". It matches the Rfam family "Bacterial large subunit ribosomal RNA", at positions 1 to 1415 of the family's 2925-position model. The record is from RNAcentral. Lineage: Bacteria; Pseudomonadati; Pseudomonadota; Gammaproteobacteria; Enterobacterales; Enterobacteriaceae.
GGGUUGUGAGGUUAAGCGACUAAGCGUACACGGUGGAUGCCCUGGCAGUCAGAGGCGAUGAAGGACGUGCUAAUCUGCGAUAAGCGCCGGUAAGGUGAUAUGAACCGUUAUAACCGGCGAUUUCCGAAUGGGGAAACCCAGUGUGAUUCGUCACACUAUCAUUAACUGAAUCCAUAGGUUAAUGAGGCGAACCGGGGGAACUGAAACAUCUAAGUACCCCGAGGAAAAGAAAUCAACCGAGAUUCCCCCAGUAGCGGCGAGCGAACGGGGAGGAGCCCAGAGCCUGAAUCAGCAUGUGUGUUAGUGGAAGCGUCUGGAAAGGCGCGCGAUACAGGGUGACAGCCCCGUACACAAAAGCGCAUGUGCUGUGAGCUCGAUGAGUAGGGCGGGACACGUGGUAUCCUGUCUGAAUAUGGGGGGACCAUCCUCCAAGGCUAAAUACUCCUGACUGACCGAUAGUGAACCAGUACCGUGAGGGAAAGGCGAAAAGAACCCCGGCGAGGGGAGUGAAAAAGAACCUGAAACCGUGUACGUACAAGCAGUGGGAGCACAGGUUUACCUGUGUGACUGCGUACCUUUUGUAUAAUGGGUCAGCGACUUAUAUUCUGUAGCAAGGUUAACCGUAUAGGGGAGCCGGAGGGAAACCGAGUCUUAACCGGGCGUUAAGUUGCAGGGUAUAGACCCGAAACCCGGUGAUCUAGCCAUGGGCAGGUUGAAGGUUGGGUAACACUAACUGGAGGACCGAACCGACUAAUGUUGAAAAAUUAGCGGAUGACCUGUGGCUGGGGGUGAAAGGCCAAUCAAACCGGGAGAUAGCUGGUUCUCCCCGAAAGCUAUUUAGGUAGCGCCUCGUGAAUUCAUCUCCGGGGGUAGAGCACUGUUUCGGCUAGGGGGCCAUCCCGGCUUACCAACCCGAUGCAAACUGCGAAUACCGGAGAAUGUUAUCACGGGAGACACACGGCGGGUGCUAACGUCCGUCGUGAAGAGGGAAACAACCCAGACCGCCAGCUAAGGUCCCAAAGUCAUGGUUAAGUGGGAAACGAUGUGGGAAGGCCCAGACAGCCAGGAUGUUGGCUUAGAAGCAGCCAUCAUUUAAAGAAAGCGUAAUAGCUCACUGGUCGAGUCGGCCUGCGCGGAAGAUGUAACGGGGCUAAACCAUGCACCGAAGCUGCGGCAGCGACACUCAGGUGUUGUUGGGUAGGGGAGCGUUCUGUAAGCCUGUGAAGGUGGCCUGUGAGGGUUGCUGGAGGUAUCAGAAGUGCGAAUGCUGACAUAAGUAACGAUAAAGCGGGUGAAAAGCCCGCUCGCCGGAAGACCAAGGGUUCCUGUCCAACGUUAAUCGGGGCAGGGUGAGUCGACCCCUAAGGCGAGGCCGAAAGGCGUAGU